AGUGAACGCUGGCGGUAGGCCUAACACAUGCAAGUCGAACGGCAGCACAGUAAGAGCUUGCUCUUACGGGUGGCGAGUGGCGGACGGGUGAGGAAUACAUCGGAAUCUACUUUUUCGUGGGGGAUAACGUAGGGAAACUUACGCUAAUACCGCAUACGACCUACGGGUGAAAGCAGGGGAUCUUCGGACCUUGCGCGGUUGAAUGAGCCGAUGUCGGAUUAGCCAGUUGGCGGGGUAAAGGCCCACCAAGGCGACGAUCCGUAGCUGGUCUGAGAGGAUGAUCAGCCACACUGGAACUGAGACACGGUCCAGACUCCUACGGGAGGCAGCAGUGGGGAAUAUUGGACAAUGGGCGCAAGCCUGAUCCAGCCAUACCGCGUGGGUGAAGAAGGCCUUCGGGUUGUAAAGCCCUUUUGUUGGGAAAGAAAAGCAGCAGGUUAAUACCCCGCUGUUCUGACGGUACCCAAAGAAUAAGCACCGGCUAACUUCGUG
This 492-nucleotide ribosomal RNA is filed under the name uncultured bacterium. RNAcentral's name for it is "partial 16S ribosomal RNA". It matches the Rfam family "Bacterial small subunit ribosomal RNA", at positions 29 to 507 of the family's 1533-position model. The record is from RNAcentral.